Molecule: ribosomal RNA, 792 nt
Filed under: Triticum aestivum (bread wheat)
Lineage: Eukaryota; Viridiplantae; Streptophyta; Magnoliopsida; Poales; Poaceae
Description: partial small subunit ribosomal RNA
Source: RNAcentral
AUGUGGCAAGAAAAACCAUGUCACAGACGAGUGCAACUGGUUGAAACAAAUCAAACAUGUACCCAAUUUGUUAGAUAUGCUGCAAGGGGGCUGGGCGUGCUACUGGUUCAGAGCGCUAACGAAGUCUUGGAAAUGGAAAACCCCAACCCUAUGGCCAUAAUCACAGUGGUUUUGGGGACAAUCAAUGAAACACAGUUGGUUGACAGACUGCAUUAUAUGUUUAACUGGAAUUGGCAGUGGAGGUGCAAGAAACAAGGAGAAAAUGCCUUCUUGGUCAGAUUCUCAAAUAAAGGAAGAUUGGUGGAGCUAAGUAAGUGCAAUGAUUUCACAUUGUUGGGCUCUGGAGCAGUUAUAAAUGUGAAGGGAUGGAGCUUUGAUUCUCAGGCAGUAGGUAAGCUUCACACCAUAUGGGCUCUGUUUGGGAAGGUCCCAGAAUGCUUUAGGCACUUCUUUGGGAUGUGUGAAGUGGCUGCAACCCUAGAGCCUGUGCUAGAAAUUGAUAUGAACACUAUUGCCAAGGAGAAGAUCAGAGCUAAGGUUGGAAUAAGAGACUAUGACAAAAUACCAGCAUUCACCGAAAUCACUGACAAAGAUUUGAUGAUAUACAAGAUUGUUCCUGAGUUGGAGAGUGUGGUGGAAAUGGGAUGGUAUGGAGAACAUAAAAGACAGGGGAAGGAGAGUUCAGAUGGAGACAAUGAUGAGGAGACUCUGAGAAAAAGACACAAGGGAGGCGAUGAGGAAGGACUUGGAAAUAAAGAGAUGAUAUCUUUGGGAAGCUUGGGAUUAGCUUAG